UACAGAGGGGGCAAGCGUUAUUCGGAAUUAUUGGGCGUAAAGGGCGCGUAGGCGGCCUUUCAAGUGACGGGUGAAAGCCCUCGGCUUAACCGAGGAACUGCCUGUCAGACUGGAAGGCUUGAGACCGGGAGAGGUGAGUGGAAUUCCCAGUGUAGCGGUGAAAUGCGUAGAUAUUGGGAGGAACACCAGUGGCGAAGGCGGGUCUCUGGGCCGAUACUGACGCUGAGGAGCGAAAGCGUGGGGAGCAAACAGG
Molecule: ribosomal RNA, 253 nt
Filed under: uncultured bacterium
Lineage: Bacteria
Description: partial 16S ribosomal RNA
Rfam family: Bacterial small subunit ribosomal RNA
Source: RNAcentral